Molecule: ribosomal RNA, 468 nt
Filed under: uncultured bacterium
Lineage: Bacteria
Description: partial 16S ribosomal RNA
Rfam family: Bacterial small subunit ribosomal RNA
Source: RNAcentral
GACGAACGCUGGCGGCGUGCUUAACACAUGCAAGUCGAACGGAAAGGCCCUGCUCUUGUUGGGUGCUCGAUUGGCGAACGGGUGAGUAACACGUGAGUAACCUGCCCUUGACUUUGGGAUAACUUCAGGAAACUGGGGCUAAUACCGGAUAGGAGCUCCUGCUGCAUGGUGGUGGUUGGAAAGUUUCGGCGGUUGGGGAUGGACUCGCGGCUUAUCAGCUUGUUGGUGGGGUAGUGGCUUACCAAGGCUUUGACGGGUAGCCGGCCUGAGAGGGUGACCGGCCACAUUGGGACUGAGAUACGGCCCAGACUCCUACGGGAGGCAGCAGUGGGGAAUAUUGCACAAUGGGCGGAAGCCUGAUGCAGCAACGCCGCGUGCGGGAUGACGGCCUUCGGGUUGUAAACCGAUUUCGCCUGUGACGAAGCGUGAGUGACGGUAAUGGGUAAAGAAGCACCGGCUAACUACGUG